This is a long non-coding RNA of Ostrea edulis (European flat oyster), 590 nucleotides long. RefSeq lists it as uncharacterized. The transcript is spliced from 2 exons. Lineage: Eukaryota; Metazoa; Mollusca; Bivalvia; Ostreida; Ostreidae. The record is from RefSeq and is a predicted model, not a curated record.
UGUUACACUUAGAGUUGUGAUGCGCUUUGACUUUUGAAAAGUGAAGACGUUGAAGACCGACUUUGAAAGAUAUUCUGUGGAUAUUACGGAGUUAACAGAAGACUGAGAUGGAGGAACAUGAAGAACAGGGCGGCAGUCGUCAGGUGUAGGCAAAUCAUUUAUAGACAGGACAGAGGACGCAGCUCAGAUGAAUCUCCGGAAAGAACUGAACAUCGCAGAGAAUGUGGAACUGCACGAAGGUUUUUAACGACGCCUCGCUUCGAUGUCCCGACAUAAACUUGGAAACCGACAUCAAGCACUAUGGCUGCUGUGGCACGGAAGCAGUGUGGUGUGUAGGUCUUAAUGCACUUUGACGACUUAUCGCCCAUACAUCCUGUGAAUGACCUUUUUGCUAAAGCCUAAUGUCAUCGUCUAGCAGUAGGUACAAUUCCGCAUCACCGAUGACCAGGGUGAAGUUGUAGCAGACGAAAUUUUAGACAUACAUUAGGCCUAGUAGGCUAGUAACUAAAGACAUUGUUUACAGAAAUGCUUUUAUCAAUUAUUGAUGAAAGUCCACUGCUUGGAAUACAAAUAAAACCGUAAAUACAUUU